GUGCCAGCAGCCGCGGUAAUACCGGCAGCUCAAGUGGUCGUCGCUUUUAUUGGGCCUAAAACGUCCGUAGCCUGUUUGGUAAAUCUGUGGGUAAAUCAACGAGCUUAACUCGUUGAAUUCUGCAGAGACUGCCAGACUAGGGACCGGGAGAGGUAUGAGGUACUCUGGGGGUAGGGGUAAAAUCCUGUCAUCCUCAGAGGACCACCUGUUGCGAAGGCGUCAUACUGGAACGGAUCCGACGGUCAGGGACGAAGCCUAGGGGCACGAACCGGAUUAGAUACCCGGGUAGUCCUAGGUGUAAACGCUGUGGAUUUGGUGUGUGGGGUCCGCAAUGGGCCCCAUGUGCCGGAGUGAAGAUGUUAAAUCCACUGCCUGGGGAGUACGGUCGCAAGGCUGAA
This 398-nucleotide ribosomal RNA is filed under the name uncultured bacterium. RNAcentral describes it as "bacterial SSU rRNA". It matches the Rfam family "Archaeal small subunit ribosomal RNA", at positions 455 to 853 of the family's 1478-position model. The record is from RNAcentral.